Molecule: long non-coding RNA, 907 nt
Organism: Helianthus annuus (common sunflower)
Lineage: Eukaryota; Viridiplantae; Streptophyta; Magnoliopsida; Asterales; Asteraceae
Exons: 2
Source: RefSeq, a predicted model, not a curated record
UAUUAUCCUUUCAUUUUUCAGCCGCAUACCCACUUCCCUUUCCCUCCCAUUUCACUUUUUCUGCAACAUAACUAUACGCACACAAGAUCAACUUUACCCACACCACCUCUACCCCCAUCUCGGUCUCCCUGCUCACUUGGAAGGCCCACCGACCACAACCCUUAGUGGCGGUGCCUUGCGGCUGCAAUGGAUAGACGGUGGAGUGGAAGGGGCUGUAGGUCUCAGAGAGAGAGAGAGAGAGAGAGACGCGAGGAGAGAGAUCGGGGAAUAGAGAGAUAUAUUAGAGAGAAGGUGACGACGGCGACAGCGGCGCCGUCGUCUACGCCGUCUUAGCGGCAGAGGUGGGGGUUUCACGAUGUUGAUGAUGACGUUUGAUGACGAUGGUGGUGUGCAGACAACGGCGGACUCACGGCGGCGUAUGUACAUCGGGAAUCGGGGUGGCGGUUCUGGUUUCGUGACACGACGGCAACAGUCGCACCGGCGACCACGGUUUUCAGGCUGUGAUGAUGACGGGAGCAGCAGUGUUGUCGGUGCUGCCUAGUUCGGGUUAUAUUACUGUUCGGGAUCGGUCAAGUGGGGUCAAACAUCAGGCUCGGGUCAACGGUCAACCGCGGUCAGAUUUGGUCAAACGGUCAGCUUCAGUUUCGGGCUCAGUCAACCCGGGUCAAACCCGGUUAACUCAGUUAACUCGGUUGACUCGGUCAACGCAGUUAACUCGGUCAAACCUGGUCAACUCAGUUGACUCUGUCAACACAGUCAAGCUAUUCGGCGAAUCGACACGAGAGAUUGAUAAAGAUUUAACAGUGCGCUUUAUAUCGUUUUUUAUAGUUAUUUUUAAUUAUGUAAAAUCGAGCUCGAACCGAACCGAAUAAUGGAAUCGCUAUACAAAAUUUAUUGGAUUUAUACA